AGGCUUUGAUCCUGGCUCAGGAUGAACGCUAGCGGCAGGCUUAAUACAUGCAAGUCGAACGGCAAGGGACUUUCGGGUCCCCUAGAGUGGCGCACGGGUGAGUAACACGUACACAACAUGCCCUUUACAGGAAUAUAGCCCCGGGAAACUGGGAGUAAUGGUCCAUAGUAUUAUUGAUAGGCAUCUAUUGAUAAUUAAAGCUUUGGCGGUAAAGGAUUGGUGUGCGUCCCAUUAGGUAGUUGGCGGGGUAAUGGCCCACCAAGCCGACGAUGGGUAGCUGGCGUGAGAGCGCGACCAGCCACACUGGAACUGAGACACGGUCCAGACUCCUACGGGAGGCAGCAGUAGGGAAUAUUGGACAAUGGGCGCAAGCCUGAUCCAGCCAUGCCGCGUGGAGGAAGACGGCCCUCUGGGUUGUAAACUCCUUUUAUACGGGAAGAAACCUCUUCAUUUAUGAGUGAGCUGACGGUACCGUAAGUAAUAGCACCGGCGUACAUCCGUC
RNAcentral lists this ribosomal RNA (502 nucleotides) under uncultured Bacteroidota bacterium. Its description in RNAcentral is "bacterial SSU rRNA". It matches the Rfam family "Bacterial small subunit ribosomal RNA", at positions 8 to 508 of the family's 1533-position model. The record is from RNAcentral. Lineage: Bacteria; Pseudomonadati; Bacteroidota.